GUCGAACGCGAAAGCCCCGCAAGGGGUAAGUAGAGUGGCAAACGGGUGAGUAACACGUGGGUGACCUGCCUGAGAGUGGGGGAUAACGACCCGAAAGGGUCGCUAAUACCGCAUGACAUCCUGCGUUUGGAAACGCGGAGAUCAAAGCCGGGGAUCGCAAGACCUGGCGCUCACAGAGGGGCCCGCGGCCGAUUAGCUAGUUGGUAGGGUAACGGCCUACCAAGGCAACGAUCGGUAUCCGGCCUGAGAGGGCGGACGGACACACUGGGACUGAGACACGGCCCAGACUCCUACGGGAGGCAGCAGUGGGGAAUUGUUCGCAAUGGGCGCAAGCCUGACGACGCAACGCCGCGUGGAGGAUGAAGAUCUUCGGGUCGUAAACUCCUUUCGAUCGGGAAGAACGUUUUCGGGGUGAACAAUCCCGAGAAGUGACGGUACCGAGAGAAGAAGCCCCGGCUAACUCCGUGCCAGCAGCCGCGGUAAUACGGGGGGGGCAAGCGUUGUUCGGAAUUACUGGGCGUAAAGGGCCCGUAGGCGGCCAACUAAGUCCGACGUGAAAUCCCCAGGCUUAACCUGGGAACUGCGUCGGAUACUGGAUGGCUUGAAUCCGGGAGAGGGAUGCAGAAUUCCAGGUGUAGCGGUGAAAUGCGUAGAUAUCUGGAGGAAUACGNGUGGCGAAGGCGGCAUCCUGGACCGGCAUUGACGCUGAACGGCGAAAGCUAGGGGAGCAAACGGGAUUAGAUACCCCGGUAGUCUAGCCCUAA
This 764-nucleotide ribosomal RNA is filed under the name uncultured bacterium. RNAcentral's name for it is "bacterial SSU rRNA". It matches the Rfam family "Bacterial small subunit ribosomal RNA", at positions 61 to 805 of the family's 1533-position model. The record is from RNAcentral.